GGGUCAGUGGCCGAGUGGUCAAUGGCAGCAGACUGUAAAUCUGUCGGCGGACGCCUACGGUGGUUCAAAUCCAUCCUGGCCCACCU
This 86-nucleotide transfer RNA is filed under the name Fidelibacterota bacterium. Its description in RNAcentral is "tRNA-Tyr". It matches the Rfam family "tRNA". Rfam says of the family: Transfer RNA (tRNA) molecules are approximately 80 nucleotides in length. Their secondary structure includes four short double-helical elements and three loops (D, anti-codon, and T loops). Lineage: Bacteria; Pseudomonadati; Fidelibacterota. The record is from RNAcentral.